This 82-nucleotide transfer RNA is filed under the name Melosira undulata. Its description in RNAcentral is "tRNA-Leu". Lineage: Eukaryota; Bacillariophyta; Melosirophyceae; Melosirales; Melosiraceae. The record is from RNAcentral.
UACUUAUUAUUGGAGUUGAACCAAUACUUUUAUAAAAAUCAAAUUUUAAAUCUGACGUGUCUACCAAUUUCACCAAAUAAGC